GAGACAAUCAUGCGAGCUUAGUGUAAAGGUAGAGGAAAAUAUAAAGCACAGAAAAAGAAACAGAAAAUCAAGUUCAUGCAUAGUAGAGAAGCAACACAUGAGAUAAACACAGAUGAAACACACAUAAAGAAAAGAAAAGAGAAGAAGAAUCAGAAAGUUUUCUAGAAACCCUAGUUUUGGAAAUCGAAUAAUUUCAAAAAGAGAAAAUUGGGGAAAACCCUUAAAACAUCGAAUAUAGAACAGAUAUAGCAUAGAUAUAAGAGAAAACAAACAGAAAAACCUCGAAUGGCUUUAGGUUUCUCUGAAACCCUAGAAAUGAGAAGGCUUGGAAAGGGUCUGGUCUGGAGUCGAUCUAAGCCACAGCUAGGCUACUAAGGCUCGAAUACGCGGAACAGGACCGGAGAAGCCAUAGAACAUUAGAUCUUUGGAGGUUCUACUCGAACACCAUCAAGGUCGGACCUCGAAAUCUCGAACAAACAUGGCUGAGAAGUGAAGGAGGGUGAGCACAGGCUAUCCAUGGCCAGAGAAGCCAUGGACUCUGGUGAGAUUGGUCAGAGAAGAUGAAGGAGACGAUUAGGUUUUUCGAGUGUUUGAGAGAGUGAGAGAGUUUUAGGGCAG
This 618-nucleotide long non-coding RNA is filed under the name Nicotiana benthamiana. RNAcentral describes it as "long non-coding RNA (NBEN_LNC012800)". The record is from RNAcentral. Lineage: Eukaryota; Viridiplantae; Streptophyta; Magnoliopsida; Solanales; Solanaceae.